RNAcentral lists this ribosomal RNA (934 nucleotides) under uncultured bacterium. RNAcentral describes it as "bacterial SSU rRNA". It matches the Rfam family "Bacterial small subunit ribosomal RNA", at positions 54 to 978 of the family's 1533-position model. The record is from RNAcentral.
CAUGCAAGUCGAGGGGAAACGACAUCGAAAGCUUGCUUUUGAUGGGCGUCGACCGGCGCACGGGUGAGUAACGCGUAUCCAACCUGCCCAUCACUUGGGGAUAACCUUGCGAAAGUAAGACUAAUACCCAAUGACGUCUCUAGAAGACAUCUGAAAGAGAUUAAAGAUUUAUCGGUGAUGGAUGGGGAUGCGUCUGAUUAGCUUGUUGGCGGGGUAACGGCCCACCAAGGCGACGAUCAGUAGGGGUUCUGAGAGGAAGGUCCCCCACAUUGGAACUGAGACACGGUCCAAACUCCUACGGGAGGCAGCAGUGAGGAAUAUUGGUCAAUGGGCGAGAGCCUGAACCAGCCAAGUAGCGUGCAGGAUGACGGCCCUAUGGGUUGUAAACUGCUUUUAUAAGGGAAUAAAGUGAGUCUCGUGAGACUUUUUGCAUGUACCUUAUGAAUAAGGACCGGCUAAUUCCGUGCCAGCAGCCGCGGUAAUACGGAAGGUCCGGGCGUUAUCCGGAUUUAUUGGGUUUAAAGGGAGCGUAGGCCGGAGAUUAAGCGUGUUGUGAAAUGUAGACGCUCAACGUCUGCACUGCAGCGCGAACUGGUUUCCUUGAGUACGCACAAAGUGGGCGGAAUUCGUGGUGUAGCGGUGAAAUGCUUAGAUAUCACGAAGAACUCCGAUUGCGAAGGCAGCUCACUGGAGCGCAACUGACGCUGAAGCUCGAAAGUGCGGGUAUCGAACAGGAUUAGAUACCCUGGUAGUCCGCACGGUAAACGAUGGAUGCCCGCUGUUGGUCUGAAUAGGUCAGCGGCCAAGCGAAAGCAUUAAGCAUCCCACCUGGGGAGUACGCCGGCAACGGUGAAACUCAAAGGAAUUGACGGGGGCCCGCACAAGCGGAGGAACAUGUGGUUUAAUUCGAUGAUACGCGAGGAACCUUACCCGG